CCUACGGGUGGCUGCAGUGGGGAAUAUUGGACAAUGGGCGAAAGCCUGAUCCAGCCAUGCCGCGUGUGUGAAGAAGGCCUUCGGGUUGUAAAGCACUUUCAGUGGGGAAGAAAGCCUUGGGGCUAAUACCCUCGAGGAAGGACAUCACCCACAGAAGAAGCACCGGCUAACUCCGUGCCAGCAGCCGCGGUAAUACGGAGGGUGCGAGCGUUAAUCGGAAUUACUGGGCGUAAAGCGCGCGUAGGCGGUCUGAUAAGCCGGUUGUGAAAGCCCCGGGCUCAACCUGGGAACGGCAUCCGGAACUGUCCGGCUUGGGUGCAAGAGAGGAAGGGAAGAUUCCCCGUGGUGCGGUUAAAAGCGUUGAGAUCGGGAGGGAUAACAGGGGCGAAGGCGGCCUUCUGGACUGACACUGACGCUGAGGUGCGAAAGCGUGGGUAGCAAACAGGAUUAGAUACCCUAGUAGUC
This 465-nucleotide ribosomal RNA is filed under the name Vreelandella stevensii. RNAcentral's name for it is "partial 16S ribosomal RNA". It matches the Rfam family "Bacterial small subunit ribosomal RNA", at positions 338 to 795 of the family's 1533-position model. The record is from RNAcentral. Lineage: Bacteria; Pseudomonadati; Pseudomonadota; Gammaproteobacteria; Oceanospirillales; Halomonadaceae.